CUUGUGGAGUUUUAUAUAACACAGUAAGAAGUCAUGUACCACACUUUGUCAACAAUAAAUGUUGUUUCUGCAAUCUGGAUAAAGAAUAAUAUAUUACUGCCUCUUGGAGAACAGCCGACCGUACUCCAGACAGAGACAAAGACAAGUCAUGUACCACACUUUGUCAACAAUGCAUGUUGUUCCUGCAAUCUGGAUGAAGAAUAAUAUAUUACUGCCUCUUGGGAAAACAGCAGACUGUACUCCAGACGGAGACAAAGACAUGAGGACAUCCAUUGCUUUUAAGUCCUAUACCAGACUAUGUUGUUCCAGCUGUCUGGGUAAAGACUGAUACAUUACUGCCUCUUGGAGAACAGCAAACCAUUCUCCAGACAGAGACAACGACAUGGACAUCAAAACAGAAAAUUAAGUAAGAUGAUGUAUAUUAUGUUCAUUAUUUAUCUUUGUGCAGUUUGAUUUGAUGAAUUACAUUAUUGUCUAUAUCUAAUUUGUUAAGUCUCUUAUUAGGGUAAUUUGUCUAAUAUUCAUAUAAGUUACAAAAGCACAAGUUUUGGCUUAAA
Long non-coding RNA from Paramisgurnus dabryanus, 557 nucleotides. RefSeq lists it as uncharacterized. The record is from RefSeq and is a predicted model, not a curated record. Lineage: Eukaryota; Metazoa; Chordata; Actinopteri; Cypriniformes; Cobitidae.